AUACGGAGGGUGCAAGCGUUGUUCGGAAUCACUGGGCGUAAAGCGCGCGCAGGCGGAUUGGCAAGUUGGAUGUGAAAGCCUGCGGCUCAACCGCAGAACUGCAUCCAAAACUGUCAGUCUAGAGUCUGGGAGAGGUAGCUGGAAUUAGUGGUGUAGGGGUAAAAUCCGUAGAGAUCACUAGGAAUACCGAAAGCGAAGGCGAGCUACUGGAACAGUACUGACGCUGAGGCGCGAAAGCGUGGGGAGCAAACAGGAUUAGAAACCCCAGUAGUCC
RNAcentral lists this ribosomal RNA (274 nucleotides) under uncultured bacterium. Its description in RNAcentral is "partial 16S ribosomal RNA". It matches the Rfam family "Bacterial small subunit ribosomal RNA", at positions 523 to 796 of the family's 1533-position model. The record is from RNAcentral.